Molecule: long non-coding RNA, 226 nt
Filed under: Brachypodium distachyon (stiff brome)
Lineage: Eukaryota; Viridiplantae; Streptophyta; Magnoliopsida; Poales; Poaceae
Description: long non-coding RNA (BDIS_LNC004222)
Source: RNAcentral
UACCAGCCCCACUUGUCACUGAUGUACCCCUUUUUUCUUUUCUUUUUAAAAGGAAACACUCCUUCUUAUUCCCCCUGGCGCAUCUCAUCUAUGCCAAAAUCCUCUCACCGAAUCCAUCGCACAGCCAUCUUCCACCGGCGGCGCUGCACAACCACGGGGCAGAGCAGGAGAUGGCGCGUGGGAGGGUGACGGCGAUCUCGCGCGGCGGCGCUAGCUCCUGUGGUCA